CGGAUGGAUCAUUAACGUUAGAUGCAUUCGAGAGGAGUAUGCCAAACGGCAAUAGCUUAAUUUGCGGUGCGUAAGCAUAUUUUCACGUGAUUGAUACGGUUGAGCAGAAUGUCUCCGUAGAGGAUUGAUGCGGGUAUGCCAUUCGCUGCUAUUGACCGAUACUCCCUUGGUGCAUCGGAUACUAUCUCUCUACCCAUGUGGUGUGAAUAGGAAAGUUUGUUGACGGUGGUUAGUAUUGUUGUUGUUAUUAUUAAGAGUGUGUGGUGUAUAAUGAUGAUGUGUACGAGUGUAUCUGUCAUGGAUAGACGAGUGUAUGUGAUUAUGUCGCCAUCGCUGUUAAUAACGACAAUAGUCGCCAGCGACAAUUAUAUUAAACACAGUAGUUUAUUAUUAUUUCUAAAGUGUAAUACCUUGUGAAUUGUAGGAAAAAGUGUAUGCUUUGACUGCACAUUACCAAGUAAAACAACUUUUAAUCUAAUACAACUGCUAGCAACGGAUCACUCGGCUCUCGCGUCGAUGAAGAACGUAGCGAACUGCGAAAAUUAAUGCGACACGCAACACGUGAGUCAUCGGAGAAAAAAAGUCUUUGAACGCAUAUUGCACCCGACAGGUUUACUUGUCGGGUCUGCCUGUCUGAGUAUCAAUACGGACCCAACCGAUAAAUAAUAUUUGUUGAGUUGGUGCUCAUUAGCAAUAUACUUGUGUAUUGUUAGUGGAUUUGAACAUUCAAUUACCAUUUGUUAGUUGAUUGUUUGAAAUGUAUUGGUAUUUUAGUCAAUCAGUUGAUAAUUGCCAACCGCUAUUCAGCAUUGUUAAUCAUCUUUUAUUAGGUGUUCAUUGCUCAACAAGUUGUUGGAAUCACGAUUAUUGACCAUUGUGUUUACACAGUGUAGUAUUGAUCAGACCAAAAAGCACACUUUCUACUGACUAAACAUUAGUAGACAAGAGUACACUUUUUAACCAUCUUGAUCUCAGAUCAGGCAGGAUGACCCGCUGAACUUAAGCAU
This 1007-nucleotide ribosomal RNA is filed under the name Syncephalis vivipara. RNAcentral's name for it is "eukaryotic LSU rRNA". The stretch from base 482 to 643 matches the Rfam family "5.8S ribosomal RNA". The record is from RNAcentral. Lineage: Eukaryota; Fungi; Zoopagomycota; Zoopagomycetes; Zoopagales; Piptocephalidaceae.